AGACCCGAAACCCGGUGAUCUAGCCAUGGGCAGGUUGAAGGUUGGGUAACACUAACUGGAGGACCGAACCGACUAAUGUUGAAAAAUUAGCGGAUGACCUGUGGCUGGGGGUGAAAGGCCAAUCAAACCGGGAGAUAGCUGGUUCUCCCCGAAAGCUAUUUAGGUAGCGCCUCGUGAAUUCAUCUCCGGGGGUAGAGCACUGUUUCGGCUAGGGGGCCAUCCCGGCUUACCAACCCGAUGCAAACUGCGAAUACCGGAGAAUGUUAUCACGGGAGACACACGGCGGGUGCUAACGUCCGUCGUGAAGAGGGAAACAACCCAGACCGCCAGCUAAGGUCCCAAAGUCAUGGUUAAGUGGGAAACGAUGUGGGAAGGCCCAGACAGCCAGGAUGUUGGCUUAGAAGCAGCCAUCAUUUAAAGAAAGCGUAAUAGCUCACUGGUCGAGUCGGCCUGCGCGGAAGAUGUAACGGGGCUAAACCAUGCACCGAAGCUGCGGCAGCGACACUCAGGUGUUGUUGGGUAGGGGAGCGUUCUGUAAGUCUGCGAAGGUGGCCUGUGAGGGUUGCUGGAGGUAUCAGAAGUGCGAAUGCUGACAUAAGUAACGAUAAAGCGGGUGAAAAGCCCGCUCGCCGGAAGACCAAGGGUUCCUGUCCAACGUUAAUCGGGGCAGGGUGAG
This 676-nucleotide ribosomal RNA is filed under the name Salmonella enterica subsp. enterica serovar Infantis. RNAcentral describes it as "partial 23S ribosomal RNA". It matches the Rfam family "Bacterial large subunit ribosomal RNA", at positions 711 to 1383 of the family's 2925-position model. RNAcentral also lists the same sequence under 1 other name. The record is from RNAcentral. Lineage: Bacteria; Pseudomonadati; Pseudomonadota; Gammaproteobacteria; Enterobacterales; Enterobacteriaceae.